RNAcentral lists this ribosomal RNA (465 nucleotides) under Vreelandella stevensii. Its description in RNAcentral is "partial 16S ribosomal RNA". It matches the Rfam family "Bacterial small subunit ribosomal RNA", at positions 338 to 795 of the family's 1533-position model. The record is from RNAcentral. Lineage: Bacteria; Pseudomonadati; Pseudomonadota; Gammaproteobacteria; Oceanospirillales; Halomonadaceae.
CCUACGGGGGGCUGCAGUGGGGAAUAUUGGACAAUGGGGGGAACCCUGAUCCAGCCAUGCCGCGUGUGUGAAGAAGGCCCUCGGGUUGUAAAGCACUUUCAGUGAGGAAGAACGCCUGGUGGUUAAUACCCAUCAGGAAAGACAUCACUCACAGAAGAAGCACCGGCUAACUCCGUGCCAGCAGCCGCGGUAAUACGGAGGGUGCGAGCGUUAAUCGGAAUUACUGGGCGUAAAGCGCGCGUAGGUGGCUUGAUAAGCCGGUUGUGAAAGCCCCGGGCUCAACCUGGGAACGGCAUCCGGAACUGUCAAGCUAGAGUGCAGGAGAGGAAGGUAGGAUUCCCGGUGUAGCGGUGAAAUGCGUAGAGAUCGGGAGGAAUACCAGUGGCGAAGGCGGCCUUCUGGACUGACACUGACACUGAGGUGCGAAAGCGUGGGUAGCAAACAGGAUUAGAUACCCGUGUAGUC